Ictalurus punctatus (channel catfish) is the source of this 3379-nucleotide long non-coding RNA. The record is from Ensembl. NCBI's taxonomy places the organism in Eukaryota, Metazoa, Chordata, Actinopteri, Siluriformes, Ictaluridae.
CUUUUCUGAGACAGAGCAGGAACAUCUUUUGUCUUAUAUGAUGGAACAGUUUAUUAAAUUUAGAUUGAAUAAGAUCUAUAUAUGUGUGUGUGUGUGUGUGUGUGUGUUUGUGUGUGUGUGUGUUUUGGAGAUGUCACCAGUGAUGACGGGAUGAAUUAUGAGUUUGCAGCAUGGGGCUGAGCACCAACGAAUUCCUGUGUGAUGUGCUGGAUUCCAGCUGUGACGAUUUCCUGCUUUCUGUGCAAUUUCAUCAAAAGGCUUCUUCUUCCAUCUUUAAUAUUGAAGAUAUCCAGCAGCGAAGCUUUCACUGUUUUGUUUUGGAUUUUUGCGCUUUAAAAGACGUUCUGUGUUGGGAAAACUUUGCAUAAACUUUCCAUUGUCAAAGUCUUGGGACGUUGUUUGCCUUGACAACCAAAUGAGGCCAAUUAGCCCCUGGCACGUUUUGCUGUCAUAUCUGUGUGUUGGCGCAUACCAACUAUUUUGUUCAGAGAUGCAAAUGGUGUGUAAACUAAACUACUUCUCUGUGCAUCUUGCAAGAAGAGCUUCACCCAGUGGAACUGAACAAGAGGGAGGCAGGGUUACAAUAUUUGGAUGACUGAUUUCCAAAUGAAAGCAUGAAGACGCCUCUUUAAUAUUUUUUUUUUUUAGAUUUCACUGUGCCUGUGCUCUACUUUUUCAUAUAGUGCAUUUCUUCUUCAGAAUUGUAAGGCAGAGACAAUAGAAAGGCUUCAUUAUCACAAGAAGGCGAGACAAGUUGUUUGUCUCCCAUGUCUGACUCUGGUCACUUCCUGACAAACAGACCUCCUCAAGCUGGUGUAAAACUUGCUGUGAGAAGGCAUCCUGAGGUGACCCACACACCAGAUGUGUGUUUGUGUAUGUGUUUGUAUGUGGAAAAGACUAGCAUGUCCCAGCAUGUUUCCCUGAGUGAAAAUACAGUUGACCAUGUUAUAUUAUUCAUUCUUCUUCCAAAAAAACAACAACAAGCAUGUCCACCGAGAACUUGCUCCGGAUGGAUGACGAGCAUUACAGAAAGCAACUGGCUUUUUCUAAGAAGAGACGCUGUCAUUUUGUCAACACCUCCUAAUGACUUCUAGACAAGAGAACCUAUUGGUAUAAAGUUAGGCUGCUUAACUUUGUGCUGAGUGGUUCUGUUCUCGCACAUACAGUCUCAAUAUAAAUGUGAAAGGCAGAAUGACACAGAGAGAGAGAGAAAGGUGAGAGUCGUUCUGUCUGCUGGAGAGGAAAUGUCUCCAUGGAAACAACAAAGAACAACCUGAACUGAAAAGAACACAGUGUCUAUACAUAGUCUUAAUUUAUGAGCUUUAUUUUACAAAUGUUUUAGUUUUGCUGUUAAUUUGAACUGUGUAUGUUUAUUUGUUGUAUUUAUUGAUCAAAAAAAUGCUUGCAUACAUAUCCAGCAUAUACAGCUGUACAGAAUUUGGCGGAUGUUUUGUGCUACGCAUGGCCCAUACUGCUUUGAGUUACAUAAGAACUGCUCUUUUGCACAUGUCUGUCACACCGUAGCGCAGCUGAAUUUCGAGGGGUCAGAGAAUCCUGGACCUCUAGUUUGACUGACCUGAAAGCAGGCAGGCUUGGAGUCUUAGGUCAUCACCCAGAUAAGAAUGGGAGGAAUGACGUUGUAGGAUCAGAUUACGCAGGAUACAAUGGAGCGGUUGGUUUGGGAACCCGUGGGGGAUGGGCUGGGGGUUAAGAAUUCAUACUGUGAUCUAGUGCAAAAAAAAAAGUUCAAUUCACGGUUUAUGCUAGCAGUAUACAGCUACACCAAAACCUAUAAAAGAAGGUAAAUUUGCUAAAGAAGCAAUAUGUCUGAUUGGAUUAUUUUGAAAACCGAACUACACUUGUGAACAAAAAAAAAUGUUCCAAGCUACAAUAAUUCCAAUGAUGAACCUAUUGAACUACUAUGUUUGGUUAAAACCUUGGCCUUAGCUGACUGAAUGUCAGAGUGGCCACUUGCUGACUCUGCUUUGUAGUUUAACAAUACUCAAACACAUUCUAACUUCUUGUCAGUCUAAUUUGAUAUGACCGAUAAGGACACCAUGCCAUGGAGUGAGAAAUCUGACAUCAGCAGCUGCUCCCAGAACAGCUGGAACUGUCACUGAUGUCCCUGAGCACAGUGGCAGGUGUUAAUUAUUAUUAACACCCUCUACAUAGAUAUUUGCUCUUUUUUCCUAUUCAGAGGCUUACGCAUGGUAAGAGACACAUUGAAGCUGUCCUUAGAUUGCUGUUAAAUGUCUUUACCACCAACAUCUGUAAGUUGAAAGAAUGGCGUUGGACUGUAAAUUUGCCUUUCCUCAGGGUUUCUGUACUACCAGUCCUAAGUGUUAUGAAGGGUUUUUUUUUUGUCCAAAACUGUCUACAUUUGGUGAAUAAUGGAGUUCUUUAAACGUAUACUGUAUAUUUUUUCACGGCAGUGAUGAUGCUACAUUCCAAAGGUCAUAAGACGCUAUGUUUGUAUGUAUCACAGGAUAUCGUCUUAAUAGAGCAAUGAAAAGGAACUGUAGUAUAACAAUUUGGACAAAAUUGUGAGGACAAUUUAUAACCUAAGUGUGAAGAGGGUAUGCAUAAGCUUAUGCAAUAGUGAACUGAUAAAAUUGAAAUCUUAGCAGUUCUGUAUGCUUUUUUUUAAAAUCAAACUAAUGCUAGCUGUAUAGAAGAUCUCUGUCAAAGCAAUGGUGGAAAAUUGUUUGAAAUUGGUUUCUUAUAGAAUAGAUAUCAAGAUAGAAAGAAGAAAGAGAGAGGUCAAGCUUCACAUUCCUUCCCAGACCUUCUUCCUUUCCACCUACUCCCUUUUCAAUGAAGUGCUGCUUUACCCUGCUGCCUUUGAAGCUCUCACAUCUAUGCUUAAACAGAAAGCCCUCUCUGUUUUUUUUCCAGUACACUGCACACAAACCGCCAGCCAAUCAGAUAGCCCAUUCUUGCCUCGUCUCAAGUAGCGUUUCCCAGGCAAUGGUCAACAAUCCCCCCUCCUCCGUCCUGUCCCCCAACAACGCACACCAUUUGAACUGGUAUCUGUCAAGUGUUUUGUUUUUCCUCUCUCCCCCUGUCUCUUUCUCUCCCACUGACCCUCUUUUUCCGACUGGAAGAUCAAGAGCCGAGUCACAGGCUUGCACUUGGCAUAAAACUCUUAAUCAUCGUCUGCCUUUGUCUGUCAACGCUGUCAAUGUUGGGCUGUAUUGUUCUAUUCUGUAUGAUGUCCUAGUAUGUUAUAUUAUGUUAUUCUGUUGUCGCUCUGUCACAACCACAGCGGUUAACGUUAUUUUGUACAAGUGAUUUUUUUCACAAUGUGAAAUUUAUGAAAUGUGAAAUAAAACAUAAGAGCUUUUUCCUCUUGAUUAUUAAAGGAGUGUUGUUGACCUUA